UCUCGAUUCGUCUAGUGGUUAGGAUACCUGCUUGUCAUUGAUGACUAUUCGCAGGUGGCCGGGGUUCAAUUCCCCGAUCGAGAG
Hypoxylon sp. FL1150 is the source of this 84-nucleotide non-coding RNA. NCBI's taxonomy places the organism in Eukaryota, Fungi, Ascomycota, Sordariomycetes, Xylariales, Hypoxylaceae. The record is from the annotation of a GenBank genome assembly.